UUGGUGAACCAGCGGAGGGAUCAUUACUGAGUUUACGCUCUACAACCCUUUGUGAACAUACCUAUAACUGUUGCUUCGGCGGGUAGGGUCUCCGCGACCCUCCCGGCCUCCCGCCUCCGGGCGGGUCGGCGCCCGCCGGAGGAUAACCAAACUCUGAUUUAACGACGUUUCUUCUGAGUGGUACAAGCAAAUAAUCAAAACUUUUAACAACGGAUCUCUUGGUUCUGGCAUCGAUGAAGAACGCAGCGAAAUGCGAUAAGUAAUGUGAAUUGCAGAAUUCAGUGAAUCAUCGAAUCUUUGAACGCACAUUGCGCCCGCCAGCAUUCUGGCGGGCAUGCCUGUUCGAGCGUCAUUUCAACCCUCAAGCUCUGCUUGGUGUUGGGGCCCUACAGCUGAUGUAGGCCCUCAAAGGUAGUGGCGGACCCUCUCGGAGCCUCCUUUGCGUAGUAACUUUACGUCUCGCACUGGGAUCCGGAGGGACUCUUGCCGUAAAACCCCCAAUUUUCCAAAGGUUGACCUCGGNUCAGGUAGGAAUACCCCGCUGAACUUAAGCAUAUCAAUA
Molecule: ribosomal RNA, 562 nt
Filed under: Colletotrichum sp. ITCC 6336
Lineage: Eukaryota; Fungi; Ascomycota; Sordariomycetes; Glomerellales; Glomerellaceae
Description: eukaryotic LSU rRNA
Rfam family: 5.8S ribosomal RNA (bases 199-352)
Source: RNAcentral